GACGAACGCUGGCGGCGUGCUUAACACAUGCAAGUCGAACGGAAAGGCCCUGCGUUUGUGGGGUGCUCGAGUGGCGAACGGGUGAGUAUCAGGUGAGUAACCUGCCCUUUUCUUUGGGAGGAGUUAAGGAAACGGGGGUUACUAUCGGAUAGGAGAUGCUGUUGCAGUGAGAGGGGUGGAAAGUUUCUGCGUGUGGGGAUGGACGCGCGGAUUAUCAGCUAGUUGGUUGGGUAGGGGCUUACCAAGCGUGUGAAUGGUAGCCGGCAUGUGAGGGUGAACGGACCCAAUGGGCCUACGAUACGGACCAGACUCCUACGUUAGACAGCAGUGGGGAAUAUGGUCCAAUGAGCGCAAGCCUGUGGAAGCAACGACGCGUCCGUGAUGGCGGCUUUCGGGUUGUAAAAAGCAUUCGCCUAUGACGAAGCGUGAGUGACGGUAAUGGAUAAAGAAGCACCGGCUAACUACGUG
This 468-nucleotide ribosomal RNA is filed under the name uncultured bacterium. RNAcentral describes it as "partial 16S ribosomal RNA". It matches the Rfam family "Bacterial small subunit ribosomal RNA", at positions 28 to 507 of the family's 1533-position model. The record is from RNAcentral.